UGCCUAACCCUCAUGGAGUGAUCCGUGAGGUAUGGCACAAAAUCCCAUCCCUGAUACUGAACCCCGUGUUCAGCAACCCAGGGAUGGGUCAUGUCUCGAAAGGGGCGUGGGGCCGAAAGGUCC
This 123-nucleotide small RNA is filed under the name unclassified sequences. RNAcentral describes it as "LOOT RNA". It matches the Rfam family "LOOT RNA". From Rfam's summary of the family: Latescibacteria, OD1/Parcubacteria, OP11, TM7. Lineage (Microgenomates, aka OP11) The record is from Rfam by way of RNAcentral.